AAUUAGGUCUUUCCGUUCCUCUUUCUCGGUUUUUCGUACCCUACGAGACCAGUACGCAGGAAACAGCUGUUGGGACUAUCUCAAACCUCAUCCACCCAAUGACCUCUAAGCUACUUCCUUCCAACCUCCGUCACCACCUCACUAAAUCAGCCCGUCUCCUCCGCCACCAGCUUCUGUCCACUGCUGCUGCGGCGGCAGAGCCCCAAAGCCAUGAUAACUCGCUGGGACUGACGAUGAAGGGGGUGAGAAUCUCUGGAAGACCCCUUUACCUAGACGUGCAAGCGACAUCACCGGUGGACCCUCGAGUCCUCGAUGCCAUGCUUCCCUUCUAUCUCUCUCGCUUCGGAAACCCUCACUCUCGCACUCACUUCUAUGGUUGGGAAUCCGACGAAGCAGUGGAACAUGCUCGCUCUCAGGUAGCGUCCCUUAUCGGUGCUUCCCCCAAAGAAAUCGUCUUUACCUCUGGUGCUACCGAAUCCAACAACAUAUCCAUUAAGGGUGUCAUGCAUUUCUACAAGGACAAGAAGAGGCACGUGAUAACUACACAAACGGAGCACAAGUGUGUGCUUGAUUCUUGCCGCCACCUUCAGCAGGAGGGUUUCGAUGUUACGUAUCUUCCUGUUGAGGCUGAUGGUUUGAUUGAUUUGGAGAAGCUUAGGGCUGCGAUAAGGCCUGAUACAGGGCUUGUUUCUGUGAUGGCGGUGAACAAUGAAAUUGGGGUGGUUCAGCCGGUGGAGGAAAUUGGGAAGAUUUGCAAGGAGUUCAAUGUUCCCUUUCACACUGAUGCGGCUCAGGCUUUGGGUAAGAUUCCAAUUGAUGUGGAGAAGUGGAAUGUGAGUUUGAUGUCAUUGAGUGGGCAUAAGAUUUAUGGGCCUAAAGGGGUUGGGGCUUUGUAUCUUCGGAGGAGACCUAGGAUUCGCGUUGAGCCUCAGAUGAAUGGUGGUGGGCAAGAGAGAGGGAUUCGAAGUGGAACUGUUCCUACACCUUUGGUUGUGGGGAUGGGAGCAGCAUGUGAGGUGGCUAUGAGGGAGAUGGAGUAUGAUGAGAAGAGGAUUUCUGCUUUGCAAGACCGGCUGCUUAAUGGGAUUAGAGAGAAGCUUGAUGGGGUGGUGGUGAAUGGGAGCCUGGAAAGGCGAUACACGGGGAAUCUCAAUUUGUCAUUUGCGUAUGUUGAAGGGGAGAGUCUACUCAUGGGAUUGAAGGAGGUGGCUGUAUCCAGUGGCAGUGCCUGUACUAGUGCCAGUUUGGAGCCUUCCUAUGUGUUGAGAGCAUUGGGAGUGGAUGAGGACAUGGCUCACACUUCUAUUCGGUUUGGUAUUGGGAGGUUCACUACUGAGGCUGAAAUCGACAGGGCAGUUGAGCUCACGGUUCAGCAAGUGGAAAAGUUGAGGGAAAUGAGUCCGCUUUAUGAAAUGGUGAAGGAAGGUAUCAACAUCAAGGAUAUUCAAUGGGCACAGCACUGAUAAUUGAUAAUCCAAGUUUAUGGUAUUGGGAGCCUCUUAGAACUGUUUUGAGAAUCACAAUAGCUUGCAGUUGAUUAAAGUUCUUGUUUUAUACAAAUGUGAUCUUCUUGUUGAUCUGUGAUGCAUAAUUACUAAGCACCAGUUGUGAGGUCAUUAAAGAUGAAGAUGAGGAUUCUGAUACAUUUUCCCUGUAGCAUCUAAUGAUAGUUUUCAGUACCACGAUGAUACAUAAGGAUUUUCAGUACAAAAUUAAGCAUGUUCUUGUGAAAUAAUUUUACCAGAUAUGGUAGAUACAUAUAUGGUAAAAUUCUUUUAAAUCUUGCAAAUGUGCACGUUUGUUGAUUAGCUAUGAGAAUGUUCCUCCUGAUAAGUGCAGCUUACUGUUCGUUAAGCUUCUUUGGUUGUACAAGUGUGACAUUCUUGUUAAGAUGUAUGCCCUUGAUAUGAGAUCAUUAACAAAUGAAAAUGACUGUUCUGAUAUUUGUGCUCCAAAGCACAUCUCUAUCUUGUAGAAACACAUUUGGAGUUUCUUCAGUUAAAAUUCAGUUGAGGUUUUAUC
Abrus precatorius (Indian licorice) is the source of this 2022-nucleotide RNA transcript. It is a transcript of the gene named cysteine desulfurase, mitochondrial, with no coding region annotated. The record is from RefSeq and is a predicted model, not a curated record. NCBI's taxonomy places the organism in Eukaryota, Viridiplantae, Streptophyta, Magnoliopsida, Fabales, Fabaceae. The transcript has 2 exons.